This 405-nucleotide long non-coding RNA is filed under the name Medicago truncatula (barrel medic). RNAcentral describes it as "long non-coding RNA (MTRU_LNC008364)". The record is from RNAcentral. Lineage: Eukaryota; Viridiplantae; Streptophyta; Magnoliopsida; Fabales; Fabaceae.
AAACUUGUAAAAAUUGAUAUUUUGCCUCAAAAUAAAAACUCAUAAUUAAUAUUUGAACCUUUUUUUCUCCUAAUUUAUUUUUUACACUUUUUCUAACUUGUUUCCUUGUUAUGUAUUUACAGAAUUGCUGCCAAUGCACCAUAUCAAAUUAAUAAGCCAGCUGAAUCCAUGUCAUGGCUUGUGGGUGCAAAAUCAACUCAAAUUUGAUCUCAAUUCUCAGCUAUAAUUUUAAUGUAAUUUUGAGCAUUUUUGUUACAAAAAAAAAAAAAAAAAACAAAUGCUACUUAGUCAGAUUUAUUUUUGCCAGAAUUUUUUAGACAAAGUUUCUGGUUAUUUUUUCCUUGACUAGAUAGCAUUAUUAAUAUUAUCAUUAUUUUUGUUGUUUAAUGCACAUGAUUAAGAUAA